Molecule: ribosomal RNA, 433 nt
Filed under: uncultured bacterium
Lineage: Bacteria
Description: partial 16S ribosomal RNA
Rfam family: Bacterial small subunit ribosomal RNA
Source: RNAcentral
AACGAACGCUGGCGGCAUGCCUAACACAUGCAAGUCGAACGAGACCUUCGGGUCUAGUGGCGCACGGGUGCGUAACGCGUGGGAACCUGCCCUUAGGUUCGGAAUAACUCCCCGAAAGGGGUGCUAAUACCGGAUAAUGUCUUCGGAUCAAAGAUUUAUCGCCUUUGGAUGGGCCCGCGUUGGAUUAGCUAGUUGGUAGGGUAAAAGCCUACCAAGGCGACGAUCCAUAGCUGGUCUGAGAGGAUGAUCAGCCACACUGGGACUGAGACACGGCCCAGACUCAUACGGGAGGAGGAGGGGGGGAAUAGUGAAAAAGGGGAGAAGGCUUGAGCAAGAAAGGCCGGGGGAGAAAUAAAGGCGUUGGGGUUGAAAAGCUUUUUUCCCCGGGAGAAAAAUGACAGUCCCGGGAGAAUAAGCCCGGGAAAACCCCGUG